CCUCCUCGCGUUUCUCCCGCACGGCCCCCGGAGCUCCGAGCGCUCCGGUUGCCCGGGGGCCGUGCGGGAAAGUUGCUCCGACCCAGCGCCCACGGGAGAAACUUCCCGGCUCGGCUCAGCCCUGCCCGCAGCCCCGCUAUCGGAGCGUGACGGCACGGUGGGGAGAAAAGUUUCCGAAAGCCUUAAAGGGAGAGCGGCGGAGCGGGGAUGUGGUGGCGGGGGUGACCGGGGCUCCAGGCUCCUGCAGCCUCCGUGGGGAGCCGCUGCCAUCACUUCCCCGCGGCAGCGGAGGCUGUGGUCGGGCAGGAGGAGGUGGAGGAGCGAGGCACGCAAGGCGUCUGCUUGAGAGAGCAUGCGAGGCUUUAAAUGUCUUCAUCAUGCACGGAAUUAAUAACGGCAGUCAAGUGUGGCCUUUUGAAAGAUGGGAACACUUAGGAUGGAAUUAGUCUCGACAUCUCUGGACUAAUGACAGUGCCUGAUGGAUCGUUGGAUGGAGCAGAUAGUCCAAAAGCCUUGAAAUGUAACACUGGGCAAGUCUAAGCAGAGUCACUCUGUGGUUGUUUCUGGCUCUUCCCCCAAGUCCUGGCUAGUAGAUAAAAGUUGAAAAAUAUCCAGCUUAAGUCAUGUGUUCUCUCGGUGUCCCCUGAUCAAUUUGCUGUCCUAGGCAACCACCUGGUCUCCCCCUGUGUGUGAAUCUGUACCAAACUGCGUGGACUAAGAUCCCUCCCCUGCCAGAGUAAACUGAAAGAGCUCCCUCCUUCCCUUCCUUGAGCUGGAGUAAUCAUCCGCAAGAUUUCCAGGUGCUUCACAGCCCUGGAUCGGUCUCGUAGUAAAUACACAUCAGGCAGCUGCUGCACAGGAGAUGCUGUGUGUGAAACCUUCUGUGAACCAUCCCAGCAGGGCCUGUUGUGGGGUUUCUGCCUUGCCUCCUCUGUUCCUUUUAUUUAUUUAAGCAUCUGAUAAGGAUUAGGCUGUGCCACGUACAGGUGAGAAGUUCCAGUGCAUUUCUGAAUGCUGGCAGGAAUGGGCCUUAGAAGAGCAAUGUGAACAGCUGCUCAAGAAAGGAGAUAUAAAAAAAAGUCCUCCCAGAGAGCCAAAUGUAACUACAUCCAAGAUGUUCCUUGGAGAGGAAGUCAUCUGUAUGCAAUGAAUGCCACAGUCAACAUGCACAUUUGGUUUUUUAUGUAUCACAUACAGAAAAUAAAUGAAAUGUCAGAAGUAGGCACAAGUUUACGUGUCUAUAUGCUUUGUAUUCUACAAUAUUUGGUGAAUCUUGUUUUUCUCUAUUUUUGUGAUUCCAAAUAUGUGUUCUUUGAGUAAAUAACAAUAAAAAUAAUUUAAAAUAUCA
Molecule: long non-coding RNA, 1348 nt
Organism: Corvus hawaiiensis (hawaiian crow)
Lineage: Eukaryota; Metazoa; Chordata; Aves; Passeriformes; Corvidae
Exons: 3
Source: RefSeq, a predicted model, not a curated record